Molecule: ribosomal RNA, 524 nt
Filed under: uncultured Cortinarius
Lineage: Eukaryota; Fungi; Basidiomycota; Agaricomycetes; Agaricales; Cortinariaceae
Description: eukaryotic LSU rRNA
Rfam family: 5.8S ribosomal RNA (bases 193-346)
Source: RNAcentral
CGUAGGUGAACCUGCGGAAGGAUCAUUAUUGAAAUAAACCUGAUGGGUUGUUGCUGGUUCUCUAGGGAGCAUGUGCACACCUUGUCAUCUUUAUAUCUCCACCUGUGCACUUUUUGUAGGCCUUUUUAGGUCUAUGUUGCUUCACUUGCCCCAAUGUAUGUCUAUAGAAUGUUGUGCCUAUAUAAUAUAUACAACUUUCAGCAACGGAUCUCUUGGCUCUCGCAUCGAUGAAGAACGCAGCGAAAUGCGAUAAGUAAUGUGAAUUGCAGAAUUCAGUGAAUCAUCGAAUCUUUGAACGCACCUUGCGCUCCUUGGUAUUCCGAGGAGCAUGCCUGUUUGAGUGUCAUUAAUAUAUAUAUAUCAAACUUCUCUUGUUGAGUUGUUUGGAUGUGGGGGUUUGCUGGCCUCUUAAAGGGGUUCAGCUCUCCUGAAAUGCAUUAGCGGAACAGCCUUGUUCAUUGGUGUGAUAACUAUCUACGCUGUUGAAUGUGAAAGGGCAGUUCAGCUUUCUAACAGUCCUUGGA